GCAAGGAGCUGAUCGCUUAGUAAAAGGAAGAAUCUCGUUUCCUCUCAAUGUCGCACUGCUCCCUGACGAAUUCAAACGCAAGCGCGUAUUAUUGGAUUUGGUGAAAUAGGGCUUUGUGUAUUUUGUGACUGGUAUAAGGUGUGGAUUGAAUGAAUCGCGUGGUGUUAAGCGCGAAAGCUAUGACGAACAGCCGCUUUGAAGCCACUCCCCUGAAAGUGGGCAGGGCAACGAGGUAACUAUAUGAAGGCGGGCCAGUGGAACUCGCCGUAGUACUUCGUACACGUGCUUAGAAGUGGUCAUACUCAGAGCUAGGGCCAAGGGUGAGGAAGGUGAUAAGAAGAGAGAAGAGUUUUAAAAACUGACAAAUUUACCCUUUGAUGGAUUUAUAUCAUGCUUUUGCCCUGUCUUGGAGUUGGAAAAUGUCUAAGUGGAAUAUGAAAGUUGUGCCAAUUUUAAAACCUGUAUUUAUCGUAAUGUUAUUGACGCUGUACGUCGUGCCUGCUGAUGCCGCCUUGUGUGGCAAUCGUCGAUGUUUUAACUCUGGUACAUUACUGUUAGGCCAGUCAAUUUUUAACAGGUGUCGAUGUGAGUGCCCACCAAAUUAUUUCGGUCUAUCCUGUCAAUACACUGUGGCUCGAAAAAGAAGUCUGGACAAUUUUUAUGAAAUUAUGCGACGUUUGCAAAGUAUAUCGGAUGCCCAACGCCACAGAACGCGGAGGUAGCAGAACAUGGAGAAAGUUUGCUGGGUCUACAUUCGGACAUAAGUCAACUUCGGACAUUCCUAAUUCCGGACACACGGCCUUGGUGCCAUGGACAGCUGAUGCCAAACAGCGUUGGAUCUGAGUAGCGUUCCGGUGUUACAGGACCUCUGAUGCCAAAGCUUAUCCUAUCCGGCCGGAUGCUAUAUUUUGUGAUACAGAGCAUGGCAAUGACCGGCGUCACGUCACCGGCAAGAAGCGGGUGACGAACAACGUUACCUGAACGUUCGACGUCACUGUCACCGUCAUUAUUUAUUGUGAACGAGAGUUGUGAUGCGUAUGAGGAUAUUUUCUGUCGAAGACAUAGAUUAACCGUUAUAUAUAUUUGUGCUUUCAUGGGGUUGUGCAAUUUUCAAAGCUUGUUUUUGGCUGUUUUAGGCCUCGUGACAUUUUUCGACGUCAGAAUACUGUUUUCCCGACAACUGACAAACUGGUUUAUGCUGCUAACUACUGCCCGAUUGACAUUGCUUUCAUUGUAGUGUGAUCCUGGAACUUUCAGCUGCCAUUGUCAGGCUUCAGCUGACUUACAUUACCAAUCUCAGAACUUUUGCUUUCGUUUUCCGUUUACAUAUUUGUGUGUCUUACGAUAUAAUGACGUCAUACCUCGUUCAAACCACAAUCUUACAUGAGAGAGGACCUGUGGCUUGACUCCACAUUUAUACUGAUAUUAUAUACCGACCAUAAAUAUAUUUACUAUUAUGAGAUGUGACUUGCAUUCAGGUGCUAGCAUAAUGAAUAAAAUGUUAUUUUUAUUUGUUG
RNAcentral lists this long non-coding RNA (1517 nucleotides) under Haliotis rufescens (red abalone). Its description in RNAcentral is "uncharacterized LOC124138976". The record is from RNAcentral. Lineage: Eukaryota; Metazoa; Mollusca; Gastropoda; Lepetellida; Haliotidae.